CACCGCGGUUAUACGAGAGACCCCAGUUGAUAAAUACCGGCGUAAAGGGUGGUUAAGGAGAGCAAAGAUAUAGCCGAAGGGCCUCUUAGCCGUCAUACGCUUAUUGAGUGUCCGAAGCCCGAAAACGAAAGUAGCUUUAAUAUAGCCCACCUGACCCCACGAAAACUGAGAAA
Molecule: ribosomal RNA, 173 nt
Filed under: Lefua echigonia
Lineage: Eukaryota; Metazoa; Chordata; Actinopteri; Cypriniformes; Nemacheilidae
Description: partial 12S rRNA
Source: RNAcentral